RNAcentral lists this long non-coding RNA (449 nucleotides) under Felis catus (domestic cat). RNAcentral's name for it is "lncRNA (ENSFCAG00000051539.1)". Lineage: Eukaryota; Metazoa; Chordata; Mammalia; Carnivora; Felidae. The record is from RNAcentral.
UACGCCCCUUUCUCUUUAGCCUUCUGAAGUCUGGACUCUGGAACCUCAGGCUUCUAUAGGGAAGUGGAAGGGAGCUGACAUUAACUGUUCACUUACGGUAUGCCUGGCAUCUUGCCAAGCACCAUACGCUACUCAUAACACGGUGAAAUAAACAUUAUUAUCUCCAUUUUUUUUUUUCAAUACUAGGAAACUCAGGCUCUGAGAGAUAAAAGCAUCAUUUCCCAAAGUCAUGUGACUGGUAAGGGGAGCCUGAGUUCACGGACGCCACAGCCCCUGCUCUUACACAAGUGUCACCUGGAGAGGGCCACCAGGCAUGAGUAAAGCAGACACAAAUAGUGGACUCCCGAACGGGGCUGAGCACGUGAGCCGCUAAAACUGCGUGUGGGGGAGCUAGCUCCCCAUCUCAUCCCGUCACAUCGUGGAGGAAGGGGCGUCUGCAACAGGGGCCC